GAUGAACGCUGGCGGCGUGCCUAAUACAUGCAAGUCGAGCGAACGGACGAGAAGCUUGCUUCUCUGAUGUUAGCGGCGGACGGGUGAGUAACACGUGGAUAACCUACCUAUCAGACUGGGAUAACUUCUGGAAACCGGAUCUAAUACCGGAUGAUAUUUUGAACCUCAUGGUUCAAAAGUGAAAGACGGUCUUGCUGUCACUUAUAGAUGGAUCCGCGCUGCAUUAGCUAGUUGGUAAGGUAACGGCUUACCAAGGCAACGAUGCAUAGCCGACCUGAGAGGGUGAUCGGCCACACUGGAACUGAGACACGGUACAGACUCCUACGGGAGGAAGCAGUAGGGAAUCUUCCGCAAUGGACGAAAGCCUGACGGAGCAACGCCGCGUGAGUGAUGAAGGUCUUCGGAUCGUAAAACUCUGUUAUUAGGGAAGAACAUAUGUGUAAGUAACUGUGAACAUAUUGACGGUACCUAAUCAGAAAGCCACGGCUAACUACGUG
Molecule: ribosomal RNA, 497 nt
Filed under: uncultured bacterium
Lineage: Bacteria
Description: partial 16S ribosomal RNA
Rfam family: Bacterial small subunit ribosomal RNA
Source: RNAcentral